Molecule: ribosomal RNA, 497 nt
Filed under: uncultured bacterium
Lineage: Bacteria
Description: partial 16S ribosomal RNA
Rfam family: Bacterial small subunit ribosomal RNA
Source: RNAcentral
GAUGAACGCUGGCGGCGUGCCUAAUACAUGCAAGUCGAGCGAACGGACGAGAAGCUUGCUUCUCUGAUGUUAGCGGCGGAGGGGUGAGUAACACGUGGAUAACCUACCUAUAAGACUGGGAUAACUUCGGGAAACCGGAGCUAAUACCGGAUAAUAUUUUGAACCGCAUGGUGCAAAAGUGAAAGACGGUCUUGCUGUCACUUAUAGAUGGAUCCGCGCUGCAUUAGCUAGUUGGUAAGGUAACGGCUUACCAAGGCAACGAUGCAUAGCCGACCUGAGAGGGUGAUCGGCCACACUGGAGCUGAGACACGGUCCAGACUCCUACGGGAGGCAGCAGUCGGGAAUCUGCCGCAAUGGGCGAAAGCCUGACGGAGCAACGCCGCGUGAGUGAUGAAGGUCUUCGGAUCGUAAAGCUCUGUUAUUAGGGAAGAACAUAUGUGUAAGUAACUGUGCACAUCUUGACGGUACCUAAUCAGAAAGCCACGGCUAACUACGUG